RNAcentral lists this ribosomal RNA (405 nucleotides) under uncultured bacterium. RNAcentral describes it as "bacterial SSU rRNA". It matches the Rfam family "Bacterial small subunit ribosomal RNA", at positions 355 to 776 of the family's 1533-position model. The record is from RNAcentral.
UGGGGAAUAUUGCGCAAUGGGGGAAACCCUGACGCAGCAACGCCGCGUGAAGGAAGAAGGUCUUCGGAUCGUAAACUUUUGUCUUAUGGGAAGAAAAAGGACGGUACCAUAGGAGGAAGCCACGGCUAACUACGUGCCAGCAGCCGCGGUAAUACGUAGGUGGCAAGCGUUGUCCGGAUUUACUGGGUGUAAAGGGCGUGUAGGCGGGUAGGUAAGUCAGAUGUGAAAUACCGGGGCUCAACCCCGGGGCUGCAUUUGAAACUGCAUAUCUUGAGUAUCGGAGAGGAAAGCGGAAUUCCUAGUGUAGCGGUGAAAUGCGUAGAUAUUAGGAGGAACACCGGUGGCGAAGGCGGCUUUCUGGACGACAACUGACGCUGAGGCGCGAAAGCGUGGGUAGCAAACAGG